RNAcentral lists this ribosomal RNA (263 nucleotides) under uncultured bacterium. Its description in RNAcentral is "partial 16S ribosomal RNA". It matches the Rfam family "Bacterial small subunit ribosomal RNA", at positions 95 to 354 of the family's 1533-position model. The record is from RNAcentral.
UUGGCGGACGGGUGAGUAACGCGUGAGCAACCUGCCUUUCAGAGGGGGAGUAACGUUUGGUAAACGAACGCUAAUACCGCAUGAUAUUAAAGGGCUGCAUGGCCUGAUAAUCAAAGGAGCAAUCCGCUGAAAGAUGGGCUCGCGUCCGAUUAGGUAGUUGGUGAGGUAACGGCCCACCAAGCCGACGAUCGGUAGCCGGACUGAGAGGUUGAACGGCCACAUUGGGACUGAGACACGGCCCAGACUCCUACGGAAGGCAGCAG